UACGUAGGGUGCGAACGUUGUCCGGAAUUAUUGGGCGUAAAGAGCUCGUAGGCGGUUUGUCGCGUCGAAUGUGAAAACCCGGGGCCCAACCCCGGGCCUGCAUUCGAUACGGGCAGACUAGAGUUCGGUAGGGGAGUCUGGAAUUCCUGGUGUAGCGGUGAAAUGCGCAGAUAUCAGGAGGAACACCGGUGGCGAAGGCGGUUCUCUGGGCAUUACCUGACGCUGAGGAGCGAAAGUGUGGGGAGCGAACAGG
RNAcentral lists this ribosomal RNA (253 nucleotides) under uncultured bacterium. RNAcentral's name for it is "partial 16S ribosomal RNA". It matches the Rfam family "Bacterial small subunit ribosomal RNA", at positions 524 to 776 of the family's 1533-position model. The record is from RNAcentral.